Molecule: ribosomal RNA, 497 nt
Filed under: uncultured bacterium
Lineage: Bacteria
Description: partial 16S ribosomal RNA
Rfam family: Bacterial small subunit ribosomal RNA
Source: RNAcentral
GAUGAACGCUGGCGGCGUGCCUAAUACAUGCAAGUCGAGCGAACGGACGAGAAGCUUGCUUCUCUGAUGUUAGCGGCGGACGGGUGAGUAACACGUGGAUACCCUACCUAUAAGACUGGGAUCACUUCGGGACACCGGAGCUAAUACCGGAGAAUCUUUUGAACCGCAUGGUUCAAUAGUGAAAGACGGUCUUGCUGUCACUUAUAGCUGGAUCCGAGCUGCAUUAGCUAGUUGGUAAGGUAACGGCUUACCAAGGCGACGAGGCAUAGCCGACCUGAUAGGCUGGUCGGCCACACUGGAGCUUGGCCGCGGUCCAGACUCCUACGGGAGGCACCAGUAGGGUAUCGUCGGCAAUGGGCGGAAGCCUUACGGAGUAACGCCGCGUGUGUUAUGAAGGUCUUCGGAUCGUAAAACUCUGUUAUUAGUGAUGAACAGAUGUGUAAUUAACCGUGCACAGCUUGACGGUACCUAAUCAGAAAGCCACGGCUAACUACGUG